Molecule: ribosomal RNA, 303 nt
Filed under: uncultured bacterium
Lineage: Bacteria
Description: partial 16S ribosomal RNA
Rfam family: Bacterial small subunit ribosomal RNA
Source: RNAcentral
AGCAGUAGCCGCGGGAAUACGAAGGGUGCAAGCGUUAAUCGGAAUUACUGGGCGUAAAGCGUGCGUAGGCGGCUUUUUAAGUCGGAUGUGAAAUCCCUGAGCUUAACUUAGGAAUUGCAUUCGAUACUGGGAAGCUAGAGUAUGGGAGAGGAUGGUAGAAUUCCAGGUGUAGCGGUGAAAUGCGUAGAGAUCUGGAGGAAUACCGAUGGCGAAGGCAGCCAUCUGGCCUAAUACUGACGCUGAGGUACGAAAGCAUGGGGAGCAAACAGGAUUAGAUACCCGUGUAGUCCCUGUCUCUUAUAC